RNAcentral lists this unclassified non-coding RNA (359 nucleotides) under uncultured bacterium. RNAcentral describes it as "contains 16S-23S intergenic spacer region". The record is from RNAcentral.
UCCCGGUUGCUCCGGGCAGUCUCGCCAGAGAAAUACAACUGACGACAGGGGUUGCGCUCGUUGCGGGACUUAACCCAACACCUCACGGCACGAGCUGACGACGGCCAUGCAGCAUCUGUGACGGUGCCCCGAAGGGAGACCGGCUUUCACCGGCUGUCACCGCCAUGUCAAGCCCUGGUAAGGUUCUUCGCGUCGCUUCGAAUUAAACCACAUGCUCCUCCGCUUGUGCGGGCCCCCGUCAAUUCCUUUGAGUUUCAGCCUUGCGGCCGUACUCCCCAGGUGGAUUACUUAACGAUUUCUCUAAGCCGCUGACUGUGUAUCGCCAACAGCGAGUCAUCAACGUUUACAGUGUGGACUAC